AUCUGAUGUUAUAAACUCUUAAAAAUACUCUUAUCUUCUUUUAUUUUUUCAGACAUGCAAAAUGGCUCAGCCUUAACAGCCAGGCCUCAAACCUCGCUGCCGAGGCGAUCUUCCAGAGUCCACCAGGACGAAGUGAAAUUCAUACAGCAAGGCAGAGUGUGAUAAGCAGAGGAGAUAUACAACAUGGCGGACAUGAUCUUCAAUAUGAGGACACAGGGACGGUAUGCAAGAAGCUGACUGUGGUGAGGUGGAGACCCCAAGUUCCCUCAUCCAGGAGCUCAGUGACCUGAGGUCUACACUACAGGAGAGACGUCGGGUCUGUCCUGAACGCAGCACAAUGUUGGAUCAUAUUUGGACAAAAAAAAAACAGUGCCAGA
Molecule: long non-coding RNA, 377 nt
Organism: Xiphophorus couchianus (Monterrey platyfish)
Lineage: Eukaryota; Metazoa; Chordata; Actinopteri; Cyprinodontiformes; Poeciliidae
Exons: 3
Source: RefSeq, a predicted model, not a curated record